This 72-nucleotide transfer RNA is filed under the name Pseudomonadota bacterium. RNAcentral's name for it is "tRNA-His". It matches the Rfam family "tRNA". From Rfam's summary of the family: Transfer RNA (tRNA) molecules are approximately 80 nucleotides in length. Their secondary structure includes four short double-helical elements and three loops (D, anti-codon, and T loops). Further hydrogen bonds mediate the characteristic L-shaped molecular structure. tRNAs have two regions of fundamental functional importance: the anti-codon, which is responsible for specific mRNA codon recognition, and the 3' end, to which the tRNAs corresponding amino acid is attached (by aminoacyl-tRNA synthetases). tRNAs cope with the degeneracy of the genetic code in two manners: having more than one tRNA (with a specific anti-codon) for a particular amino acid; and 'wobble' base-pairing, i.e. permitting non-standard base-pairing at the 3rd anti-codon position. The record is from RNAcentral. Lineage: Bacteria; Pseudomonadati; Pseudomonadota. RNAcentral also lists the same sequence under 2 other names.
GCGGAUGUAGCUCAAUGGCAGAGCACCUGACUGUGGCUCAGGUGGUUGUGGGUUCGAGACCCAUCAUCCGCC